GACGAACGCUGGCGGCGUGCUUAACACAUGCAAGUCGAACGGAAAGGCCCUGCUUUUGUGGGGUGCUCGAGUGGCGAACGGGUGAGUAACACGUGAGUAACCUGCCCUUGACUUUGGGAUAACUUCAGGAAACUGGGGCUAAUACCGGAUAGGAGCUCCUGCUGCAUGGUGGGGGUUGGAAAGUUUCGGCGGUUGGGGAUGGACUCGCGGCUUAUCAGCUUGUUGGUGGGGUAGUGGCUUACCAAGGCUUUGACGGGUAGCCGGCCUGAGAGGGUGACCGGCCACAUUGGGACUGAGAUACGGCCCGGCCUCCUACGGGGGGCAGCGGGGGGGAAUAUGGCACAAGGGGCGGAAGCCUGAUGCAGCAACGCCGCGUGCGGGAUGACGGCCUUCGGGUUGUAAACCGCUUUCGCCUGUGACGAAGGGUGAGUGACGGUAAUGGAUAAAGAAGCACCGGCUAACUACGUG
RNAcentral lists this ribosomal RNA (468 nucleotides) under uncultured bacterium. Its description in RNAcentral is "partial 16S ribosomal RNA". It matches the Rfam family "Bacterial small subunit ribosomal RNA", at positions 28 to 507 of the family's 1533-position model. The record is from RNAcentral.